Molecule: non-coding RNA, 23 nt
Filed under: Arabidopsis thaliana (thale cress)
Lineage: Eukaryota; Viridiplantae; Streptophyta; Magnoliopsida; Brassicales; Brassicaceae
Source: RNAcentral
AGGUACAGUGCCAAUACAAAACA